RNAcentral lists this small RNA (677 nucleotides) under Pongo abelii (Sumatran orangutan). Its description in RNAcentral is "processed transcript". The record is from RNAcentral. Lineage: Eukaryota; Metazoa; Chordata; Mammalia; Primates; Hominidae.
UGUGGAGAAAGGAAGGAAGAAUUCCCUGAUGUCUGCCAUUUGUGUGCACAUCUGUUGCAGUGGGAAGGAAAAUAACAUUUAUGGAGUACCUUCUAUAAUAGAAGUUUCCUGGAUCCCACCCAUGAAGGCGAUCCUGGAAUGUUGUCUCAAGUGUGGGGCCAAAGCACAGCCAGGAGGAGCAUUCCCUGAGGGCAGUUUGAAGAUUCAGAGCUGGCAAUAGAAGGCAAGGUCCUCCCUAAAGCACAGCAGAGCACAACUCAAGAAGAGACAAAAAGGACAAAAUAAGAAUGAGUGGCACAGUUGAUGAUGGGGAUUGCUGAGACCAUCUCAACAAUACCCGGGCUUGCUCUAAGGGAAUCAGGACUUCAUCUUUGAAGGAAACUGUUCUGGGGAAGCAAUGGCAAAAAUGAGCAAAGUUGGGAAAGUUGUGUUCCCGAGACUACAGGAUAAAAAAUACUAUGAUAAGAAAUACCAAGUAUUCCUGAAGCUGGUUGAACACCAGAAGGAGUAUUUGGCGAUCAUGAAUGAUGACUGAACAGGGCUUGCAGUUGCUGAUGCCAGAAGCUUCUGUGCCAUUGCAUUAAAGACUUCUGUCAUUUGAUCCAUGUUCAAGACCCUUGAGGUAUUGUUUCAUCAUUUCUGUAUUGUCUUUCAAUAAAGAAGACAAACAUGUGCAA